This is a small nucleolar RNA of Chlorocebus sabaeus (green monkey), 78 nucleotides long. RefSeq annotates it as small nucleolar RNA SNORD115. The record is from RefSeq and is a predicted model, not a curated record. Lineage: Eukaryota; Metazoa; Chordata; Mammalia; Primates; Cercopithecidae.
GGGUCAAUGAUGAAACCUUAUAUUGUCUGAAAAGAGGUGAUGACUUAGAUGACAUAAUAGAGGAUUACGCUGAGGCCC